RNAcentral lists this ribosomal RNA (492 nucleotides) under uncultured bacterium. RNAcentral's name for it is "partial 16S ribosomal RNA". It matches the Rfam family "Bacterial small subunit ribosomal RNA", at positions 32 to 507 of the family's 1533-position model. The record is from RNAcentral.
AGCCAACGCUGGCGGUAGGCCUAACACAUGCAAGUCGAACGGCAGCACAGUAAGAGCUUGCUCUUACGGGUGGCGAGUGGCGGACGGGUGAGGAAUACAUCGGAAUCUACUUUUUCGUGGGGGAUAACGUAGGGAAACUUACGCUAAUACCGCAUACGACCUACGGGUGAAAGCAGGGGAUCUUCGGACCUUGCGCGAUUGAAUGAGCCGAUGUCGGAUUAGCUAGUUGGCGGGGUAAAGGCCCACCAAGGCGACGAUCCGUAGCUGGUCUGAGAGGAUGAUCAGCCACACUGGAACUGAGACACGGUCCAGACUCCUACGGGAGGCAGCAGUGGGGAAUAUUGGACAAUGGGCGCAAGCCUGAUCCAGCCAUACCGCGUGGGUGAAGAAGGCCUUCGGGUUGUAAAGCCCUUUUGUUGGGAAAGAAAAGCAGCAGGUUAAUACCCCGCUGUUCUGACGGUACCCAAAGAAUAAGCACCGGCUAACUUCGUG